RNAcentral lists this ribosomal RNA (1873 nucleotides) under Lactobacillus acidophilus. RNAcentral describes it as "bacterial LSU rRNA". It matches the Rfam family "Bacterial large subunit ribosomal RNA", at positions 985 to 2867 of the family's 2925-position model. Lineage: Bacteria; Bacillati; Bacillota; Bacilli; Lactobacillales; Lactobacillaceae. The record is from RNAcentral.
CAGACUGCGAGUGAUAAGAUCCGUAGUCGAAAGGGAAACAGCCCAGAUCACCAGUUAAGGUCCCCAAAUCUAUGCUAAGUGGAAAAGGAUGUGGAGUUGCGUAGACAACUAGGACGUUGGCUCAGAAGCAGCCAUCAUUCAAAGAGUGCGUAAUAGCUCACUAGUCGAGUGGCGCUGCGCCGAAAAUUUACCGGGGCUAAGCAUAGUACCGAAACUGUGGAUGCAUCGAAAGAUGCGUGGUAGGAGAGCGUUCUAAGUGCGGCGAAGGUUAACCGAGAGGAUAAUUGGAGCGCUUAGAAGUGAGAAUGCCGGUAUGAGUAGCGAAAGACAGGUGAGAAUCCUGUCCGCCGAAAGACUAAGGUUUCCUGGGGCAGGCUCGUCCGCCCAGGGUAAGUCGGGACCUAAGGCAAGGCCGAGAGGCGUAGUCGAUGGAUAACAGGUAGAAAUUCCUGUACUGUGUUUAAUCGUUAUGAGCGAUGGAGGGACGCAGGAGGUGAAACACGCAUCGAGCUGGAUCGAUGUUCAAGCAACAAGUGCGGUUAAGAGUCAAAUGCUUCUAACCAGCAACACGAGUUGUGAUGAGUAGCGAAGUAAUAGUAGCGAAGGUGAUGUAAUCACACUGCCAAGAAAAGCUUCUAGCCAGAGAGGACACACCCGUACCGCAAACCGACACAGGUAGUCGAGUGGAGAACACUAAGGUGAGCGAGAGAACUCUCGUUAAGGAACUCGGCAAAAUGACCCCGUAACUUCGGAAGAAGGGGUGCUGGCCACGAGAGUGGUUAGCCGCAGUGAAUAGGCCCAAACAACUGUUUAUCAAAAACACAGGUCUCUGCAAAAUCGUAAGAUGACGUAUAGAGGCUGACACCUGCCCGGUGCUGGAAGGUUAAGAGGAGAGCUUAGCGAAAGCGAAGGUUCGAAUUGAAGCCCCAGUAAACGGCGGCCGUAACUAUAACGGUCCUAAGGUAGCGAAAUUCCUUGUCGGGUAAGUUCCGACCUGCACGAAAGGUGUAAUGAUUUGGGCACUGUCUCAACGAGAGACUCGGUGAAAUUAUAAUACCCGUGAAGAUGCGGGUUACCCGCGACAGGACGGAAAGACCCCAUGGAGCUUCACUGUAGCUUGAUAUUGAGUAUCUUUUAAACAUGUACAGGAUAGGUAGGAGCCAAGGAAGGCAGGACGCUAGUUUUGCUGGAGGCAAUGUUGGGAUACUACCCUUGUUUGAAGGAUGCUCUAACCUCGACCUGUAAGCCAGGUCAGGGACAGUGUCAGGUGGGCAGUUUGACUGGGGCGGUCGCCUCCUAAAGUGUAACGGAGGCGCUCAAAGGUUCCCUCAGAAUGGUUGGAAAUCAUUCGCAGAGUGUAAAGGUAUAAGGGAGCUUGACUGCGAGAGAAACAGCUCGAGCAGGGACGAAAGUCGGACUUAGUGAUCUGGUGGUACCGUAUGGAAGGGCCAUCACUCAACGGAUAAAAGCUACCCUGGGGAUAACAGGCUUAUCUCCCCCAAGAGUUCACAUCGACGGGGAGGUUUGGCACCUCGAUGUCGGCUCGUCGCAUCCUGGGGCUGAAGUCGGUCCCAAGGGUUGGGCUGUUCGCCCAUUAAAGCGGCACGCGAGCUGGGUUCAGAACGUCGUGAGACAGUUCGGUCCCUAUCCGUCGUGGGCGUAGGAAAUUUGAGAGGAGCUGUCCUUAGUACGAGAGGACCGGGAUGGACGCACCGCUGGUGUACCAGUUGUUCCGCCAGGAGCAUCGCUGGGUAGCUAUGUGCGGAAGGGAUAAGCGCUGAAAGCAUCUAAGUGCGAAGCCCCCCUCAAGAUGAGAUUUCCUUUGCAAUAGCAGUAAGACACCUCAAAGACGAUGAGGUAGAUAGGCUGGGAG